GAUGAACGCUGGCGGCGUGCCUAAUACAUGCAAGUCGAGCGAACGGACGAGAAGCUUGCUUCUCUGAUGUUAGCGGCGGACGGGUGAGUAACACGUGGAUAACCUACCUAUAAGACUGGGAUAACUUCGGGAAACCGUAGCUAAUACCGGAUAAUAUUUUGAACCGCAUGGUUCAAAAGUGAAAGACGGUCUUGCUGUCACUUAUAGAUGGAUCCGCGCUGCAUUAGCUAGUUGGUAAGGUAACGGCUUACCAAGGCAACGAUGCAUAGCCGACCUGAGAGGGUGAUCGGCCACACUGGAACUGAGACACGGUCCAGACUCCUACGGGAGGCAGCAGUAGGGAAUCUUCCGCAAUGGGCGAAAGCCUGACGGAGCAACGCCGCGUGAGUGGUGAAGGUCUUCGGAUCGUAAAACUCUGUUAUUAGGGAAGAACAUAUGUGUAAGUAACUGUGCACAUCUUGACGGUACCUAAUCAGAAAGCCACGGCGAACUACGU
RNAcentral lists this ribosomal RNA (496 nucleotides) under uncultured bacterium. Its description in RNAcentral is "partial 16S ribosomal RNA". It matches the Rfam family "Bacterial small subunit ribosomal RNA", at positions 28 to 506 of the family's 1533-position model. The record is from RNAcentral.